GACAGAGGGUGCAAACGUUGUUCGGAAUUACUGGGCGUAAAGCGCGUGUAGGCUGCUCUGCAAGUCGGGUGUGAAAGCCCUGGGCUCAACCUAGGAAGUGCACUCGAAACUGCAGAGCUGGAGUCCUGGAGAGGAAGGCGGAAUUCUCGGUGUAGAGGUGAAAUUCGUAGAUAUCGAGAGGAACACCGGUGGCGAAGGCGGCCUUCUGGACAGUGACUGACGCUGAGACGCGAAAGCGUGGGGAGCAAACAGG
RNAcentral lists this ribosomal RNA (253 nucleotides) under uncultured bacterium. Its description in RNAcentral is "partial 16S ribosomal RNA". It matches the Rfam family "Bacterial small subunit ribosomal RNA", at positions 524 to 776 of the family's 1533-position model. The record is from RNAcentral.